UUCGGUGGUCAUAGCGUGAGGGAAACGCCCGGUUACAUUCCGAACCCGGAAGCUAAGCCUUUCAGCGCCGAUGGUACUGCAUGCGGGAGCGUGUGGGAGAGUAGGACGCCGCCGAAC
RNAcentral lists this ribosomal RNA (117 nucleotides) under Streptomyces reniochalinae. Lineage: Bacteria; Bacillati; Actinomycetota; Actinomycetes; Kitasatosporales; Streptomycetaceae. RNAcentral also lists the same sequence under 2 other names. The record is from RNAcentral.